This is a non-coding RNA of Myodes glareolus (Bank vole), 125 nucleotides long. Lineage: Eukaryota; Metazoa; Chordata; Mammalia; Rodentia; Cricetidae. The record is from RefSeq and is a predicted model, not a curated record.
UCCACCAUCAGUUUCAAAAGACAUCACUUGAAGGCCUGAAAGGCAGGUGGAAAAAAGAAUUCUCUUUUUUGCAACCCAGAACUCAGUGUUCACUACUAGUUCUGAUUCAUAUAAGAAGGAACACA